UGCUGCUUCGCUGACUAGUGGCGGACGGGUGAGUAAUGUCUGGGAAACUGCCUGAUGGAGGGGGAUAACUACUGGAAACGGUAGCUAAUACCGCAUAACGUCGCAAGACCAAAGAGGGGGACCUUCGGGCCUCUUGCCAUCGGAUGUGCCCAGAUGGGAUUAGCUAGUAGGUGGGGUAACGGCUCACCUAGGCGACGAUCCCUAGCUGGUCUGAGAGGAUGACCAGCCACACUGGAACUGAGACACGGUCCAGACUCCUACGGGAGGCAGCAGUGGGGAAUAUUGCACAAUGGGCGCAAGCCUGAUGCAGCCAUGCCGCGUGUAUGAAGAAGGCCUUCGGGUUGUAAAGUACUUUCAGCGGGGAGGAAGGCGAUAAGGUUAAUAACCUUGUCGAUUGACGUUACCCGCAGAAGAAGCACCGGCUAACUCCGUGCCAGCAGCCGCGGUAAUACGGAGGGUGCAAGCGUUAAUCGGAAUUACUGGGCGUAAAGCGCACGCAGGCGGUCUGUCAAGUCGGAUGUGAAAUCCCCGGGCUCAACCUGGGAACUGCAUUCNAAACUGGCAGGCUAGAGUCUUGUAGAGGGGGGU
This 588-nucleotide ribosomal RNA is filed under the name uncultured bacterium. Its description in RNAcentral is "bacterial SSU rRNA". It matches the Rfam family "Bacterial small subunit ribosomal RNA", at positions 78 to 662 of the family's 1533-position model. The record is from RNAcentral.